GACCUCAGUUCAGGUGAGAUUACCGGCUGAAUUUAAGCAUAUUACUAAGCCGAGGAAAAGAAACUAACAAGGAUUCCCCUAGUAGCAGCGAGCGAACAGGGAAGAGCCCAGCGCUGAAUCCCCCGGGCCUCGCUCGGCGGGAAAUGUAGCGUUUGGGAGGGCCCGUCAACACGGCGACUCGCUCACUGGUUCAAGUCCAACUUGAAUGGGGCCACACAGAGGGUGACAGGCCCGUAGAGCAGGAGCGGUUGUCGUGUGGGUCUCUCCUUAGAGUCGGUUUGCUUGAGAGUGCAGACUUAAGUGGGUGGUAAACUCCAUCUAAGGCUAAAUAUGACCACGAGACCGAUAGCACACAAGUACCGUGAGGGAAAGGUGAAAAGAACUUUGAAGAGAGAGUUCAAGAGUACGUGAAACUGAAGUGGUGUAAACGGACGAGUUCGAAAAGUCCGAAUGGUGAGAUUCAAGCUUACCGUGCCGGUGGCCCUUGGGUUCAGAUGGCGUCGUCAGUUCGGGCUUCGGUUCGGAUCAUACGGCGUCACUCGUCCUGGGGGUAUCUGUCUGGUGCGGUGGGCUGCACUUCUCGCCUAGUAGGACGUCGCGACCCGUUGGGAUGUUCCGUUCACUGGCCCCUGGUGGAGCCCGCGCCGGAGCGUGGCCUUGUGCCGCGUUGCUGUUUGCACGGACCCGGGGUGACCUGAUCGGCGCCCGACGGUAUCAAAGCUUGGGAAGAGGCCGCACAGAGGAUGCGUUCGAUGGCCGUUUCGGCCUACACUCGGACAGGCCUGCAC
RNAcentral lists this ribosomal RNA (788 nucleotides) under Frankliniella intonsa. RNAcentral's name for it is "eukaryotic LSU rRNA". It matches the Rfam family "Eukaryotic large subunit ribosomal RNA", at positions 1 to 606 of the family's 3401-position model. Lineage: Eukaryota; Metazoa; Arthropoda; Insecta; Thysanoptera; Thripidae. The record is from RNAcentral.